This is a non-coding RNA of Caretta caretta (loggerhead turtle), 1856 nucleotides long. The record is from RefSeq and is a predicted model, not a curated record. NCBI's taxonomy places the organism in Eukaryota, Metazoa, Chordata, Testudines, Cheloniidae.
GGCAGGGCGUCGGGGUGCAGCAGGGGGUUUGGAGUGCUGGUUCCAGGACAGGGCUGGGGCAUGGGGUUGGGGUGUGCCUUAGGAGAUAGGGAGACUGCCUUAGCUUUGCUGUGCUGCUGGACUUUUAGCAGCCCAAAAUCUCCCGGUUUGGCUUCAGUACCCUCCGGGAGAUAGAGCCCAAUCCCAGGAGACUCCUGACAAAACCGGGAGGAUUGGCAACCCUGCACCUGCCCCAUACUGAAGAGAAAGAUGACCCUCUACCUCAGAUACCUGCCAAUCUGACGUGUGGGGGGGAUUCCUUCCCCACCUCGAUUCUGAUGAUCAAUUGGCUCCUGAGCAUGCCAGCCCAAGCACCAACCAGGCAGCUCAGAGCUGUGACCCACUCUGUCCUGUCUCCAGGUGUGACUAUCUCUGAUCACUACACUUCAGAGGAAAGUGAAAAAAAAUCCCAGGGAGCCAAUGGGGUAUCGAGGUAACCCGUCCUGCCUGACCCCUGCAGGGGAAGCCCGGAAGCAUGAGAUUAGAUGACCCCGUCAGCGUUUACAUCCAGAGAAUUGCAGGGCUGGUUUUGCUCUUCUCUAAGGUCCCAUCCAUCUCGGUACAGCCCAGGAACUCGCUCCUGGCCCCAAGCGGAGCUGUCAUCAGCUGAGAGGAACUACCAGGGCAGCCCUUCGCACUUAUGGGGUGAGAUAGAGGAGACAUGGCCCAGAUGGAUAGAUCCAUGGUGGAAAGUGGGAGCCCGUGUGAGGUGGGAUCCUCAUGGGGCAGGACGCUGGGCUUUCCCCUUCCUCAGGAUUGCGCCACCCCCUGGAGAUUGGUCUGCAGGGCACAUCUAGGAGACUUCAUUGCAGACAGGUGCCUGGUUGCUCUUGGAACUGGGGAUCUUCAAGCAUCAAAGGUUCACAAAGGAUGAGAUGAGCUAACAUCCUGCCCUCACUUCUCCUCGUCUCAGGGCUGGACUCCUGCCGAUGGACCAUUGGUCCCUCACAAUGACGCCCCAGGCACCGACAUCUUCGAUAAUCAAAAGGGCUUCUUUAUCAUCUGCUCCGACCUGGAUUGCUACCUGCGGACAGACAAUCAAAAGAGCGGGACUGGUAUAGAGAUCCGGAGACUGCACCCUGCGUGACAGGAUGGGGAUCUCUACGGGAGUGACAAGACGAUUCCCCCCAACAUCUACAUCAUCAAGGGCGACUCCUACCAGGUGGUAAAGGACUUCAGCACAGAUGCUGAGGCCAAGGUCCAUAAGCUGCAUCCCAACUGCUGUGGCGGGGACCACUACAUGCACUGUGCUUCCGGGUUCCACAUCAUCUUCCGAGAGCAGCGUGUCGUGUGCUCUGUCCUUGACGUGGGCACAGAUGAACAUGGGAUGGAUGCUCCCCUACCACUUCUUUCCAACAGUACUGAAGGUGGAUGAGAAAUGGUGGGUGGAGCUCAUGUUCAUAUACAUGUACUACUGAGCCCACCAACAGAUCUCCUUCUCCAUCCACCCCAACGUGCUGACCUUCUUCCCCGGGGGGCUGACCCUCACCAAGGGCACCUCAACCAGCAGCUGGGAGUGUAUCAAUGGGAUCAAAUCAGCCCCUUCAAAUCCAUACUUAUCGCUUCCCAGUGCCCUCCUCCCAGCUCGCAAACCCGGCUCAUCCACUUCCCCUCCCCCAGCUUCUCUGCAAAUCGCGUCACCAGGGCAGAUGAUUUCAUUGCCUGUUCUCUCCGUCGUCUCUCAUUAUAACCCGCAGCCUGAAUUCUGCUUUGGGAUCGUUCCAGGGUCGAAUCUGCUGCAGAAGCACAAAGAAUUUGUCCAGCAUUCACCAGGCUGUUGGGGUUGACUUUCCUUGGUCUUCUCCUUGGUUUGGGGG